This 298-nucleotide ribosomal RNA is filed under the name uncultured bacterium. RNAcentral's name for it is "partial 16S ribosomal RNA". It matches the Rfam family "Bacterial small subunit ribosomal RNA", at positions 475 to 776 of the family's 1533-position model. The record is from RNAcentral.
CUAUGCGCCUUGCCAGCCCGCUCAGGUGUGCCAGCGCCGCGGUAAUACGUAGGGGGCAAGCGUUAUCCGGAUUUACUGGGUGUAAAGGGAGCGUAGACGGCCAGACAAGUCUGAAGUGAAAAUCCAGCGCUUAACGUUGGAAGUGCUUUGGAAACUGCCGGGCUGGAGUGCAGGAGGGGCAGGCGGAAUUCCUAGUGUAGCGGUGAAAUGCGUAGAUAUUAGGAGGAACACCGGUGGCGAAGGCGGCUUACUGGACAGAAACUGACACUGAGGCUCGAAAGCGUGGGGAGCAAACAGG